GCCAAACCAUCAUAAUGUGUUCAUCACAUCUCAUUCCUGAAAGACCUUCAGUUUAGGGCCUGAACCCUGAAGACUUGUUCAUUGUAAAUAUAUCAUUGGAAUAUUGAUCAACUGAAAUUCAUGCAUCACUCAGAGAGAUAUUGACUGAAACACCAUAAUAAAGCCAGUAAAAUUUAACUAGUAGUUGUGCUGAGUACUUUUUUCUUCACUCUGACCUUCCUUUUCUGCAAAAUGGGUGUAGAAAGAGAAAGAUAGAUUACAGAUUACAGAAAAAAGACAGAAUACACUUCUCAACAUUUCAUGGUGGUUUUAACAGACGGUAACCUCAGUUGUGACAGCACUUCUAUAUUUUUACUACUCCCACAGUAAAUUCUGCAAAUUUAUUAUAAAACCCCACACAGUGUGUGAGAGGAACAGGAGGUGACACAGCAGCGAACAGGACGAUGGCAGCGGUCGGAUGGACUGGAUUCACGUUGUUUCUGCUGCUCAACAUCUCCACGGGAAAAGACCCAGAGAGGUUCACUGUGAGCUGUAAUGUUGGACAGACUGUCACUUUACCCUGUAAUCACACCAUGUCCGACUGCUCCAUGGUCACCUGGAUAUUGAAUUCCACUGUACUAGUUGCUAAAGGGAAGGUCAAAGAGACACAGAGAUCUGGAAGACUGACAGUGGGGUCUGACUGCUCUCUAUACAUUGAGAACCUGAAGACUAAAUAUACUGGACGGUACACCUGUCGACUGUAUCACAGUAACAAUAACAAUGGUUACACUGAUAUUUCUGAUGUUUCUCUGUCUGUUGGCAAAAAUACCAAGACAAACUGCUUCACUCCUGUAGUGUCUCCAUCCAUUGUCUCUCCUACAGGUUUAACAAUGAGCAACGCGGAGCUAUCAAUUCGAUUGGUUUUCUUUUUCAUCAUUCUGAUCCUUCCUCCUGUCAUUGGAAUCAUUUACACCAAGAGCAGAAACCAUCCAAUCAGAGGUCAGGUGUCCUCUGGUACAGAACUCCAAGAAUAUGUGAAUGGCUAGAUGAUAAACAGAAAUCUCCAUUUUCAUCUUAUAUUCUCCAUUUUACUGUGUCUGCUACAGGCCUCCUCUAUGACAAAGACAGUGAUUUCAGGGUUGUACUAAACACACCAGUAUGAGAACACUGUCAUUAUUUUUAAGGACGUUUAUGUUGAAUGUUUAUCACAUUAACCUCAUUUGUAGCACAUUUUUUUCUCCCUUUUGCUGUUUGCAUUAUUUUCUAUGGAAUGAACUGUAGGUCAACUGCUUGUGUUUCCAUAGGUGUCAAAUCUUGUCAAAUGACCCAGCUGAUGAUUGUUAUUUAUACAACAGUUCUUACUCAGCUUUCAGAUAACAGUUUUAUCAAAAGAGUUCAGUUACAGUGAGUCUGUAUCAAGGAAAAGGUUUGAAAAGCUGGCAGAUCUGAUGGCCUCUUCAGUUUUUUUUAUUGAACUCUUUCAAUGUCUCUAAUUUUAAAGAUUGUAUUUUAUUUUACCAGUCCCAUGUGGGUUUAGGAUGGGAGGUGUGUGUGGGAGGUGGGUUGUUUAAGGGAUACAAUUGUUUGGUCUGACCAUAGUUUACUGUAAAGCCCUUGUUGUGAAUAUUAGUUAAUAAUUAUUUACAAAAUAAAGUGGCUUUGUCAAGUGUGUCUAAUCUCUCU
Scleropages formosus (Asian bonytongue) is the source of this 1662-nucleotide long non-coding RNA. Lineage: Eukaryota; Metazoa; Chordata; Actinopteri; Osteoglossiformes; Osteoglossidae. The record is from Ensembl.